GGAGGGUGCAAGCGUUAAUCGGAAUUACUGGGCGUAAAGGGUGCGUAGGUGGUUAUAUAAGUUAUCUGUGAAAUUCCCGGGCUUAACCCGGGGCGGUCAGGUAAGACUGUAUGACUUGAGUAUAGGAGAGGGUAGUGGAAUUUCCGGUGUAGCGGUGAAAUGCGUAGAUAUCGGAAGGAACACCAGUGGCGAAGGCGACUACCUGGCCUAAUACUGACACUGAGGCACGAAAGCGUGGGUAGCAAACAGGAUUAGAUACCCUGGGUAGUCCACGCUGUAAACGAUGUCAACUAGCCGUUGGUCAUAUAGAAAUGAUUAGUGGCGCGGCUAACGCGGUAAGUUGACCGCCUGGGGAGUACGGUGCAAGAUUA
RNAcentral lists this ribosomal RNA (371 nucleotides) under uncultured organism. Its description in RNAcentral is "partial 16S ribosomal RNA". It matches the Rfam family "Bacterial small subunit ribosomal RNA", at positions 527 to 896 of the family's 1533-position model. The record is from RNAcentral.